Long non-coding RNA from Passer domesticus (house sparrow), 1868 nucleotides. RefSeq lists it as uncharacterized. Lineage: Eukaryota; Metazoa; Chordata; Aves; Passeriformes; Passeridae. The transcript has 5 exons. The record is from RefSeq and is a predicted model, not a curated record.
UCCUCCCGCAGGCUGUGGUUUGUCUCACUCAUGCCUUUCAGCACUGUGUAAGUUCCACUUCAGCCUGUGGUACUUAAAACUCACUUUAAAAUAGGGUGGGUGUGCUCUCAUCCUCGAAGUCAGGUGUCUUUUUCAUUGCUCUGGUGAAGAGGAGAGCAAAUUGUGGGCACAUUGCAGCAGAAUCAGAUUUUUCCCACUGGGUCACAGUGAUGUGAGGAUGGGUAUGAACACAUCUUCCGUGGGUCAAGAAUUCUUGUCUUGUAUAAAUCUGUGAGCAUCUGAUAAUUUAAUGUUUCAGAAUAUCACAGGCGCUCAGCCUGAAUUAAAGGUAUUUUUAGGUCAUGGGACUACAGAUAUCUAAACAGAAAUAAGUGUAGUUUGAGAGUGAUUUUAUUAUAUCCUGAAAUGAAGCACCCUUCUGAAUUAGUCAAGACCCAAAAUACCAUGGAAGUGCCUAUAACUGAGCUUGCAAAAAGGAGGGUGAAGAGCAAAGGGAAAAGACCCUAAAGCUGUUUAAAGGAUUUUAAACAAAGUGAGUCUGAACCAUUGAGGCAGAAACCCUGUUUUCAUUCCAUACUUGUGUCCUGAUUCCUACACUUUAAUAUGGAUUGCCUGGUUCUUCCACAGAAGUGUUGGUUUGUAUUUUAAAGAAAAAAGAGAAAAGGAAGAAGGCAUGGGGUUUUCUUUUCCUUUUUCAUGAUGUUCUAAAGUGACUAAAUCUGGCUUUUACAAUUUCUGUCUGUGUGAUUCUGCUUAAAAAUGCAUGAGCUGUUCUAGGCACAUCUGUAAAAUGCUGUGAGCAGUGCCUAUAGUACAAAUGAUGUCAUGCCCUUCCUGAACUUGUCUGGUGAAGUUCAGAGACAAAUUAAUUAAAUUAUGGGUUUAGCAAAAUAGAGCUUUUUUUUUCCCUUACCAGACAAUUUUCAGUGAAAAUGUGUAGAACAUCUAUUGAUUAUGGGUGGUUUUUAUGACAAUAGAAUCCGAGCAUGUUUUCAUUUGGGGGGCCUGGAUCUGACUGAAGUUUUCCAUACACACUGUUUGUAAUGUCCUUUGGUCACAGUGCUCUUAGGGCUCCAUCCCAAAUGGAAAUCCCUCUCAUCCGAAACUUUCAUACAGAGCAUACAUUACUCAAAUAUUCCUCUGCUGAGGCACUGGGGGUGUAGAGCCUCUGCUAGAGGUUAGAAUACAGGUUUGCUUCCUGGAAUAUAAACCCUGACAACAAAAUAUUUGACCCAGGGCUUCAUGUGUAGCCAAACUUGAAUGAUUUCUCCUUCACCAUAAGUUCAUUGCCCACAUUUGAGAACUGCUGAGCCAGUUUUCCUGGUGCUGCUGCUGAGAAAGGGAAGAAGAAUUGUGCCCCUCUCACCCCUUUGGCAUGGAUUGAGGCAGAGUUUACAGCACUGCCUCAGUGGUCAGGUGCUUGAGACACAGAACAGAAAAAUGCUGCUCUGUCCCUGAUACCUCUGCUCUGUCUCCUCUCUGGAUCUGCUCUGCCUUUCUCAGAGCUCUGGAAGAGCCUGUUCAGAACCAGGAAUUGAGGUCUGGGACUCUGAAGCCUGCCUGUGCAGCACAGAUUGCUCUGAGCUGCUGUGGCUGUUCCACUGAUGGGGAUCAAAUCUCAUGAUCUGCUUUAACCAGCUUUAGGCUUUCUUUGGGUUGACAUCCAAACACUUCAUUUGCACUUAAACAUGAUUUCAGGUUGAUCAAAAUCACUCUGAAUGUGGUAAAAUUGAUCUGAAUUUGUAAAUGGCUGGUUAUGGUUAAAGUAUUGAAGAGAUUUUUGAAGGCAGAUGUAAUAGUAAGAGUUUGUGUUCAACAGGAAUUCAACACCUUGUCUUUUACAACAUUUGCAUUAAAUUUCCUGCUCA